This is a non-coding RNA of Plutella xylostella (diamondback moth), 661 nucleotides long. NCBI's taxonomy places the organism in Eukaryota, Metazoa, Arthropoda, Insecta, Lepidoptera, Plutellidae. The record is from RefSeq and is a predicted model, not a curated record.
UGUAAUAUUGAAGUUACCAACAAGAAUUCCAAGUGAAAGCACCAGCUCUGUAGUGAUCCUAGGAGGGGAAGAGGGCCGGGACUGGAUAUCCCAUGCUGUUAUAUUGAAACUUCUAGACAGCAUUCUUGAAAAUUUCAAAGUCGAUUUUGGUCAAAAAACAGGAAAACUUCUCCUUCUAACCAAUCAUGUAUUGGUGUGAAUGUAGACAGAAACUGGCAUCUUGACUCUUCUAAAAGAUCUACAUUUAGAUGUGAAGGGAUCAAUAUAGGAGAAAGAUCCUUGUCAGAAAAAGAAACUAGCUCAUUAGCGGCAUAUCUGAAUACAAUAGCUCCUAACCUAAUGGCUUUUAUAAAUGUGCGAGGAUUUAGAAGCUUUAUCACAACUCCUGCUUAUAUAAAAGAACAUGAGAAUAAUUAUCCAUUAAUGAAUGAAAUUAUGAAAACCGCUUCACAAUCCUUUUACAAAAAGUUUAAGAAACCAUAUAAAUACUCUGCUUCAGUUAUGUAUAACUUUACUGGUAACUGUGCAGACUGGGUUAAAUCGCAACUGAACAUACCAAUUGUAUAUACAAUUUAUAUGACACAUGAGGAUGAGCUAAUACCACAGCCAGACCAUGUCUUCCCAUUAGCAGAACAAUUAUCAGUAUACUUAGAGGAAUCAC